This 198-nucleotide ribosomal RNA is filed under the name uncultured bacterium. RNAcentral's name for it is "partial 16S ribosomal RNA". It matches the Rfam family "Bacterial small subunit ribosomal RNA", at positions 328 to 539 of the family's 1533-position model. The record is from RNAcentral.
ACGCUCGACACCACGGGAGGCAGCAGUUGGGAAUAUUGGACAAUGGAGGAAACUCUGAUCCAGUGACGCCGCGUGAAGGAAGAAGGUCUUCGGAUUGUAAACUUAUUUUGUCAGGGAAGAAAAAUGACUGUACCUGAAGAAAAAGCACCGGCUAACUACGUGCUAGCAGCCGCGGUAAUCUGAGCGGGCUGGCAAGGC